CUACGGAGGACGCGAGCGUUAUCCGGAUUCAUUGGGUUUAAAGGGUGCGCAGGCGGCCGUGCAAGUCAGCGGUGAAAGCCCGGGGCUCAACCCCGGAAGUGCCGUUGAUACUGCGUGGCUGGAAUGCGGUCGAGGCGGGCGGAAAGCGGGGUGUAGCGGGGAAAUGCGUAGAUGUGGCACAGAACGACGAUAGCGGAGGAGGCGCGACAGGGCUGCAGUGACGCUCGGGCACAAAAGCGUGGGGAUAGAACAGGAUUAGAUACCCUGGUAGUCCACGCAGUAAACGAUGAAUACUAGCUGUUUGCGAUACAAUGUAAGCGGCUGAGAGAAAGCGUUAAGUAAUCCCCCUGGGGAGUACGUUCGCAAGAAUGAAACUCACAGGAAUUUACGGGG
This 393-nucleotide ribosomal RNA is filed under the name uncultured bacterium. RNAcentral's name for it is "partial 16S ribosomal RNA". It matches the Rfam family "Bacterial small subunit ribosomal RNA", at positions 523 to 918 of the family's 1533-position model. The record is from RNAcentral.